GCCGGGCAUGGUGGUGCGCGCCUGUAAUCCCAGCUACUCAGGAGGCUGAGGCAGGAGAAUUGCUUGAACCCAGGAGGCGGAAGUUGCAGUCAGUGGAGAUCGCGCCACUGCACUCCAGCCUGGGCGACAGAGCAAGAUUCUGCCUCAA
Molecule: unclassified non-coding RNA, 148 nt
Organism: Macaca fascicularis (crab-eating macaque)
Lineage: Eukaryota; Metazoa; Chordata; Mammalia; Primates; Cercopithecidae
Rfam family: Metazoan signal recognition particle RNA
About the family: The signal recognition particle (SRP) is a universally conserved ribonucleoprotein. It is involved in the co-translational targeting of proteins to membranes.
Source: Ensembl